GACGAACGCUGGCGGCGUGCCUAACACAUGCAAGUCGAGCGGUCCGGCACUCAACGUAGUUGGGUGGCGGAUAGCGGCGGACGGGUGAGUAACGCGUGGGCAACCUACCCUUAAGACCGGGAUAGCACCUCGAAAGGGGUGGUAAUACUGGAUAAGCUCCUUAUAGGGCAUCCUAUAGGGAGGAAAGGGAGGCGCAAGCUACCGCUUAAGGAUGGGCCCGCGUCCCAUCAGCUAGUUGGUAGGGUAACGGCCUACCAAGGCGACGACGGGUAGCCGGCCUGAGAGGGUGGUCGGCCACACUGGGACUGAGACACGGCCCAGACUCCUACGGGAGGCAGCAGUGGGGAAUCUUGGGCAAUGGGCGGAAGCCUGACCCAGCGACGCCGCGUGGGGGAGGAAGGCCUUCGGGUUGUAAACCCCGUUAGUGUGGGAAGAAGGGAUGACGGUACCACACGAAAGCCCCGGCUAACUACGUG
Molecule: ribosomal RNA, 476 nt
Filed under: uncultured organism
Description: bacterial SSU rRNA
Rfam family: Bacterial small subunit ribosomal RNA
Source: RNAcentral